UACGUAGGGGGCAAGCGUUAUCCGGAUUUACUUGGUGUAAAGGGAGCGUAGACGGCCUUGCAAGUCUGGUGUGAAAGCCCGGGGCUCAACCCCGGGACUGCAUUGGAAACUGCAUGGCUGGAGUGCAGGAGAGGUAAGCGGAAUUCCUAGUGUAGCGGUGAAAUGCGUAGAUAUUAGGAGGAACACCAGUGGCGAAGGCGGCUUACUGGACUGUAACUGACGUUGAGGCUCGAAAGCGUGGGGAGCAAACAGG
Molecule: ribosomal RNA, 253 nt
Filed under: uncultured bacterium
Lineage: Bacteria
Description: partial 16S ribosomal RNA
Rfam family: Bacterial small subunit ribosomal RNA
Source: RNAcentral